Hyla sarda is the source of this 435-nucleotide long non-coding RNA. RefSeq lists it as uncharacterized. Lineage: Eukaryota; Metazoa; Chordata; Amphibia; Anura; Hylidae. The record is from RefSeq and is a predicted model, not a curated record. The transcript has 4 exons.
AGAAAUUGUCAUGAAGGUUCGGACCAGACGGAACAACGCUGAUUAGAGAAGACGUCAUUGAGGAUGAGAAUGCGCUGACAUAGUGAGGAGACGUCUGGGCGUCACAUUCUACAGACAGAAGUUUUAGCUGGAACAAGUCCUGGCGGUCCGGUGCUGCUGUGCUCACUGCCUGUGUGAGCGCAUGGCCUCCGGGAGAGCGCGCACGCACGUACAUCAGGCGCAUCAGCAGGAUCCUGUGUAUCGUGGGCAUUGGCAGCAACCCAAGUUACUGCACAACAAUUGGUACACUUGAAGGUAAAAAUGAACCAGAUGAAGCGCCACUGAUGUGAAACAGUCUGUCGUUCCUUUGCUGUGCGGCUUUGGCUGCUUUCUCUCCCUCCCUGCACCAUGUAUAUCGUUCUUAUGUGGCUACUGAAGCUUGAAUAAAGUACAGUU